RNAcentral lists this unclassified non-coding RNA (352 nucleotides) under soil metagenome. RNAcentral's name for it is "partial contains 5.8S ribosomal RNA, internal transcribed spacer 2, and large subunit ribosomal RNA". The stretch from base 1 to 120 matches the Rfam family "5.8S ribosomal RNA", at positions 35 to 154 of the family's 154-position model. The record is from RNAcentral.
GAUGAAGAACGUAGCGAAAUGCGAUAAGUAAUGUGAAUUGCAGAAUUCAGUGAAUCAUCGAAUCUUUGAACGCACAUUGCGCCCGCCAGUAUUCUGGCGGGCAUGCCUGUUCGAGCGUCAUUACAACCCUCAGGCCCCCGGGCCUGGCGUUGGGGAUCGGCGGAAGCCCCCUGCGGGCACAACGCCGUCCCCCAAAUACAGUGGCGGUCCCGCCGCAGCUUCCAUUGCGUAGUAGCUAACACCUCGCAACUGGAGAGCGGCGCGGCCACGUCGUAAAACACCCAACUUCUGAAUGUUGACCUCGAAUCAGGUAGGAAUACCCGCUGAACUUAAGCAUAUCAUAAGCGGAGGA